This is a non-coding RNA of Momordica charantia (bitter melon), 1538 nucleotides long. Lineage: Eukaryota; Viridiplantae; Streptophyta; Magnoliopsida; Cucurbitales; Cucurbitaceae. The record is from RefSeq and is a predicted model, not a curated record.
CAAUCUUUCUGUAGGUAUAACAAUAUGUUAUUCAGUGAUAUGGUGACAGUACUUAUAGAUACUUGAAAUAAUUCUUGAGGGAAAGAAAGUGUAAUAUGCAUUCAUUCUUGGGGCAUAGCCGCAUAGUUCUGUUGACUUGAAAGAUAUGAAUCCUGGUGUUAUGUUGAAACAUUGAAAUUAUGAGAGAUAAUCCUCGAGUAUAUUCUCAAUUUCUUCAUCUUUAUUUCCAUGAACAUCUAUAUAUAUUAUGUAUAUUUCCUCUUGUCUACACAAAAUGGCCGAAAUCUGUUGGAGGAGUUCACUCAUUAUAGUUGUCUUCUCCUCUACAUUGUGUUGAGCAUAUAGCAUUGUUAUUUGGUAAUCUGCAGUAAAUAUAGAAAAGGGAAAGGUAGAGACAGGUGAGAAGCUACACAUGUGGAUGUUUUACUUCCUUUCUUCCAUUUUCUGCACAUGGUUUCUAUUUAGCAGCAUUCAAGUUGUGGCUGUAGGUUUGCCAAUUGCUACACUUCAUUUUCAUGUCAAGGCCAAGAGUUCGACUUGAGAUCUGUCGCUUUAUCUCCUUUAGACUCGACAAAUGGGAAUGUCUCAUUAUGAGGAAAGUUGCACAGAACAGAAUUCCAUUUCCCUUCUGUCCAAGGAAUUGGGUAAGCCACAGGGUGCAGGGUGACUGUGAAUAGUCCCGACGGCCCGUGCCGACCAAAUAACCAGCACGUGAGGCGAAGGACAGCUGUCGGAAUUCUGGGAUUCCAGUGGAAGUUGUCUGUCAGUUUCUGGCAAACAGACUAGUGGCCAUGAUUUUGUCUUCAAAAGCUGCCUGACACGUGUACAGAACCAUCCUCCACACCCAUACAAUAUUUCCAACUAUUUACCCACAUGGAAUUACAAUCCCCCACCUGAAACUCCAUUUCUCCACAAAAUUCAAACCCCACCCCCCAACUGAACUUCUCUUCUUAUAUAUACAAAACCCAAACCCCUUUCCCAUCUGUCCUUCCCAUAUUAAUCUCUUUUCUUUCUUUAUUGGGUUUCCUCCAAUGGCUUCACCAGAUUUGACGCCUAAUUCCGGUUCCUCUUGCCAUAAUGCUGCUGCUCCUAGGUUGAAGAGGAAGAGAAGAGAAGCAAGAGAGGUUCGCCGGAAAGUGCAGAAGCUCCGGUGUGUGGUGCCCGGCGGCCGACAGCUGCAACGGGAACAUCUCUUCGCCAAGACAGCUCAUUACAUCUUGCAUUUGAGAUUGAAAGUUUGUGCGCUUGAGACCAUUCUCAAAUUGCAGGACCAGGCUUGACAAUGAAGUCACAUGACAUGAAUUUUUUCUCUCUUUUUCUCAUCUCCAACUCCAAGGCUUUUCUUUUACAUAAAAAUUUGUUUACUUGAUCUUGUUUCCUGUCGAUCUGGUUGACACUGGACAAAUAUAAGUUAUUCGCCAGUCACAUUGUGGAGUAUUUAGUAUAUAUUUGUGUGGUAGUAAAUAUGUAUACAAGUUGGGAGGAUCUUAAGCUAUGUUUUGCAAAUAUAAUGUGUUGAUUUACUCCAGUUGGAUUCC